GGGGGAAUAUUGGUCAAUGGGCGAGAGCCUGAACCAGCCAAGUCGCGUGAAGGAAGACUGCCCGCAAGGGUUGUAAACUUCUUUUGUAUGGGAUUAAAGUCACCUACGUGUAGGGGUUUGCAGUUACCAUACGAAUAAGCAUCGGCUAACUCCGUGCCAGCAGCCGCGGUAAUACGGAGGAUGCGAGCGUUAUCCGGAAUCACUGGGCGUAAAGGGUUCGCAGGCGGAAAUGCAAGUCAGGUGUAAAAGGCAGUAGCUUAACUACUGUAAGCAUUUGAAACUGCAGAUCUUGAGAAGAGUAGAGGUGAGUGGAAUUUUUAGUGUAGCGGUGAAGUGCGUAGAUAUUAAAAAGAAUACCGGUGGCGAAGGCGACUUACUGGGCUCAUUCUGACGCUGAGGAACGAAGGCGUGGGUAGCAAACAGG
RNAcentral lists this ribosomal RNA (424 nucleotides) under Verrucomicrobiota bacterium. Its description in RNAcentral is "Verrucomicrobia bacterium partial 16S ribosomal RNA". It matches the Rfam family "Bacterial small subunit ribosomal RNA", at positions 355 to 776 of the family's 1533-position model. The record is from RNAcentral. Lineage: Bacteria; Pseudomonadati; Verrucomicrobiota.